AGCUGUUAGGAGACUUUGUCUUUUAGUGGCGCAGCUAACGUUUUAAGUUGUCCGCCUGGGGAGUACGGCCGCAAGGCUAAAACUCAAAUGAAUUGACGGGGACCCGCACAAGCAGUGGAUCAUGUGGUUUAAUUCGAUGCAACGCGAAAAACCUUACCUACUCUUGACAUACUUGGAAGCUCUUGUAAUGAGAGUGUGCUUUUAAGAACCAAGAUACAGGUGCUGCAUGGCUGUCGUCAGCUCGUGUCGUGAGAUGUUCCGUUAAGUCGGAUAACGAGCGCAACCCUUACCCUUAUUUGCCAGCGAUUCGGUCGGGAACUAUAAGGGGACUGCCGGUGAUAAACCGGAGGAAGGUGAGGACGACGUCAAGUCAUCAUGGCCCUUACGAGUAGGGCUACACACGUGAUACAAUGGGAGAGACGGACGGACGCUAAGCCGCGAGGUGGUGCUAAUCCUAGAAACUCUCUCGUAGUCCGGAUUGGAGUCUGCAACUCGACUCCAUGAAGUUGGAAUUGCUAGUAAUCGCGGAUCAGCAUGCCGCGGUGAAUACGUUCUCGGGUCUUGUACACACCGCCCGUCACACCAUGGAAGUGGAUUGCACCAGAAGUAGAUAGUCUAACCUUAGGGAGGGCGUUUACCACGGUGUGCUUCAUGACUGGGGUG
Molecule: ribosomal RNA, 663 nt
Filed under: uncultured marine bacterium
Lineage: Bacteria
Description: bacterial SSU rRNA
Rfam family: Bacterial small subunit ribosomal RNA
Source: RNAcentral